UGUAAGCCGCUGGCUGUAUUCACACAGAAGAGACAGAGAUUCUGGCCUCUGAGGUGGAAAAGAUCCAGGAGAGGAGAGAGCUGUGUGUGAAGCAAGACAAGCAAGAUCCAACCACUGGCAGGUUCUCUUUUCCAAUGAUACUGGUGAGACCGGCCUCAAGACCAGAGAGACACUGUCCUGACCCUGAAGAAGCCCACAGUCCUGUGAUGGAACAGGCAUGCAUAGCGGUGGUCUAGAGAAACUGGCAGGAACAACUCUGGAAGGGUUUUCUGCCACCACAGGAAGGUCCAUGAAAUCCUUGAUUGAUGGGUCCCUGAUUGGUCAGAGGAAGCUUGCAGAGGAGGUGACCCUGGAGCCAGAACAUGACAGCCAUGCAAGAUGGGGGCAAGAAAGAGGGCAGUUCAACCGUGCCAAGAUGUGAAACUGUAAAUCCACUGGCAUCUCCCGACAAGACCUCGUUGCUAAUAUUGUUUAGUACAAGAAACAGUGAGAGGUUACAUUGGUGAGGCAGAUGAGGGACAUCGUAUGGAAAAAUUAAGAGAUGUGGACAUUGACCUGAAAGUGAG
Heterocephalus glaber (naked mole-rat) is the source of this 566-nucleotide non-coding RNA. The record is from RefSeq and is a predicted model, not a curated record. Lineage: Eukaryota; Metazoa; Chordata; Mammalia; Rodentia; Bathyergidae.